GUGAUAGGGAGGGGUGGUCAUCACGAGGUUUAACUGAGAUGGAAAAAUACUGAACAGCACAAUAGCAGGAACUGAGCAACUGUUCUAACUAGGCUGCGAUACCAGAACAGUAAGGAUCUAUACAUCGAGGAGGGAGAACUCCAAGAAGCACCAAGAGGUGUGGACCCGCCUGAGCGCCUGCAAUAGGCUGGGCAAGUUUAAACCACGCCCAGUCUCUACUGUGAUAGGCCAACAGACGUGUUGGAACUAUGUCUAUCACAGUAUAAAGAAUACUGUUUUACAUACGUCUUGUCAGUUCUCUGUUCUGCCCUGCGUGGUAUUACAGUGAGCCCGUAUAUACGAAAGUUGCAUUUGCCAUUUAUUACUUAGCUAAUAAAAAAUACAUAGUAUACAAUCGGUGACUCAUUGUUAUAUUUAUCCUGAACUAGGAAAGGACGGACAACGUAUCCAGUCUAACACACAACAACGAUACUAUAAUGUAUCCAAUUUACCACCAGAGACAUUCUCCAGAGGACAAGGAAGAUCUCUGUUGAGCAACACGGCCUUCCAUCUAUGACCAACCUAUUGAAGCCGCAGCUCAGAAUAGCCAAGGAAGUUGCACAGAACUUCCCCAACAUCCCCUCCCAAAUUGAUGUGGAGCAACUGCGGAAAAAAAUGGCUGAGGAUAUACUAAAAAUGUCUGAGUUCAACAAAGCCAACAACUGCUUCAUGUGUGACACUGAUGAAGAACCUGGAUGUGGCCCAAAGACUGACUGGACAAAAGAGUUCAACAGAGUCAAGAACACAAACUAGAAGUGCAGUCUUUGUUGUUGAAAAUGUAUGCUAUACCCCAUCCACACUGAAGAGGCUCUGAAAUGUACAUCAACCAGGGAUAAAGAGAAAGUUAAC
This is a long non-coding RNA of Oncorhynchus masou masou (cherry salmon), 888 nucleotides long. RefSeq lists it as uncharacterized. The record is from RefSeq and is a predicted model, not a curated record. The transcript has 4 exons. Lineage: Eukaryota; Metazoa; Chordata; Actinopteri; Salmoniformes; Salmonidae.